RNAcentral lists this ribosomal RNA (254 nucleotides) under uncultured prokaryote. RNAcentral describes it as "partial 16S ribosomal RNA". It matches the Rfam family "Bacterial small subunit ribosomal RNA", at positions 522 to 775 of the family's 1533-position model. The record is from RNAcentral.
AAUACGUAGGUGGCAAGCGUUGUCCGGAUUUACUGGGCGUAAAGAGCGCGCAGGCGGUCGUUCAAGUCGAGUGUGAAAGCCCCCGGCUCAACUGGGGAGGGUCACUCGAUACUGAUCGACUCGAAGGCAGGAGAGGGAAGUGGAAUUCCCGGUGUAGUGGUGAAAUGCGUAGAUAUCGGGAGGAACACCAGUGGCGAAGGCGACUUCCUGGCCUGUUCUUGACGCUGAGGCGCGAAAGCUAGGGGAGCAAACGG